Molecule: transfer RNA, 58 nt
Filed under: Gekko kuhli
Lineage: Eukaryota; Metazoa; Chordata; Lepidosauria; Squamata; Gekkonidae
Description: Ptychozoon kuhli tRNA-Trp
Source: RNAcentral
AGACUUAGGUUACCCAAACCGAGGACCUUCAAAGUCCUAAACAGGGGCUUAGUCUCUG